CUACGGAGGGUGCAAGCGUUAAUCGGAAUUACUGGGCGUAAAGCGUACGUAGGCGGUUAUUUAAGUCAGAUGUGAAAGCCCCGGGCUUAACUUGGGAACUGCGUUUGAAACUGGGUAACUAGAGUUUAGUAGAGGGGAGUGGAAUUUCAGGUGUAGCGGUGAAAUGCGUAGAGAUCUGAAGGAACACCAGUGGCGAAGGCGACUCCCUGGACUAAAACUGACGCUGAGGUACGAAAGCGUGGGUAGCAAACAGGAUUAGAAACCCCAGUAGUCC
RNAcentral lists this ribosomal RNA (274 nucleotides) under uncultured bacterium. Its description in RNAcentral is "partial 16S ribosomal RNA". It matches the Rfam family "Bacterial small subunit ribosomal RNA", at positions 523 to 796 of the family's 1533-position model. The record is from RNAcentral.